Molecule: ribosomal RNA, 256 nt
Filed under: uncultured archaeon
Lineage: Archaea
Description: partial 16S ribosomal RNA
Rfam family: Bacterial small subunit ribosomal RNA
Source: RNAcentral
UAAUACGGAGGAUCCAAGCGUUAUCCGGAAUCAUUGGGUUUAAAGGGUCCGUAGGCGGCCUUAUAAGUCAGCGGUGAAAGUUUUUGGCUUAACCAAAAAAUUGCCGUUGAUACUGUAGGGCUUGAAUUUUUGUGAAGUAACUAGAAUAUGUAGUGUAGCGGUGAAAUGCUUAGAUAUUACAUGGAAUACCAAUUGCGAAGGCAGGUUACUAACAAACGAUUGACGCUGAUGGACGAAAGCGUGGGUAGCGAACAGG